AACGAACGCUGGCGGCAUGCCUAACACAUGCAAGUCGAACGGUGCCUUCGGGCACAGUGGCGCACGGGUGAGUAACACGUGGGAACCUGCCUUUCGGUUCGGAAUAACGUUUGGAAACGAACGCUAACACCGGAUACGCCCUUCGGGGGAAAGUUUACGCCGAGAGAGGGGCCCGCGUCGGAUUAGGUAGUUGGUGAGGUAACGGCUCACCAAGCCGACGAUCCGUAGCUGGUCUGAGAGGAUGAUCAGCCACACUGGGACUGAGGCACGGCCCAGACUCCUACGGGAGGCAGCAGUGGGGAAUAUUGGACAAUGGGCGCAAGCCUGAUCCAGCAAUGCCGCGUGAGUGAUGAAGGCCUUAGGGUUGUAAAGCUCUUUCGCACGCGACGAUGAUGACGGUAGCGUGGGAAGAAGCCCCGGCUAACUUCGUGCCAGCAGCCGCCGUAA
Molecule: ribosomal RNA, 447 nt
Filed under: uncultured bacterium
Lineage: Bacteria
Description: partial 16S ribosomal RNA
Rfam family: Bacterial small subunit ribosomal RNA
Source: RNAcentral